UACAGAGGGUGCAAGCGUUGUUCGGAAUUACUGGGCGUAAAGGGUGAGUAGGCGGUUUUGUAAGUCAGAUGUGAAAGCCCGGGGCUUAACCUCGGAAUUGCAUUUGAAACUACAAGACUUGAGUGUGGUAGAGGCUAGCGGAAUUCCCAGUGUAGUGGUGAAAUACGUAGAGAUUGGGAGGAACACCUGUGGCGAAGGCGGCUAGCUGGGCCAUUACUGACGCUGAGGCACGAAAGCGUGGGUAGCAAACAGG
Molecule: ribosomal RNA, 253 nt
Filed under: uncultured bacterium
Lineage: Bacteria
Description: partial 16S ribosomal RNA
Rfam family: Bacterial small subunit ribosomal RNA
Source: RNAcentral